UAUACAAUUAAGGGAUUAGAUAACCUGUUAGAAAGACUAUUAGAAAAAAUAAAAAAUAUUUUUUCUCAACUAGAGACUAUGGAUAUAUCAUCUAAGGAAUAUGAUAAUCUUAAAGAAUUAUAUGACAAUUAUAUUACAGAUUAUGCUAAUUUAUUAGAUCAAAGGAUGGAACUAUAUAUUAAAAUUCGAAAUGGGAGAAAUAGAAGAAUUUUAGAACUAUU
RNAcentral lists this long non-coding RNA (221 nucleotides) under Olea europaea (common olive). RNAcentral describes it as "long non-coding RNA (OEUR_LNC011403)". The record is from RNAcentral. Lineage: Eukaryota; Viridiplantae; Streptophyta; Magnoliopsida; Lamiales; Oleaceae.